Non-coding RNA from Pelobates cultripes (western spadefoot toad), 456 nucleotides. The record is from the annotation of a GenBank genome assembly. NCBI's taxonomy places the organism in Eukaryota, Metazoa, Chordata, Amphibia, Anura, Pelobatidae.
GUUAGGGUGGAUGCUUGCAGAAGAAAGGAGGAGGCGAAUGUGUGACCCGGGAGGAGGAUAGGGCGAAGAGAGAGAGCAAUGCUAAAUCAAGGGUACAGUUAGGAAACACAGACACCCAGGGAAGGGAUAUUGGAAGGAGGUGUGUGUGCUUGUGACACAUUAGGGGCAAUCCAAGAAGGACCAGGCUGUUUCUCUUCACCCAGGUAUCUCACAGCAGGUCGCACCAAUGAACAUGUCAGUGUUGACUUUGCAAGAAUACGAAUUCGAGAAGCAAUUUAACGAGAAUGAAGCCAUCCAGUGGAUGCAAGAAAACUGGUAGGUGCUCUCUCCUACAUAAGCUUAGUGUAUUUAUUUUAUUGUGUGCUUGGGCUUCGUGGUGGUUGAAGAGAUCUCAUAUAUACAUACAAAUGCCUCCUGUAGGAGUGACAUGCAGUGUGAUGUGCAUCCACCUCCCAC